This 2293-nucleotide small RNA is filed under the name Rattus norvegicus (Norway rat). RNAcentral describes it as "uncharacterized LOC102553943". The record is from RNAcentral. Lineage: Eukaryota; Metazoa; Chordata; Mammalia; Rodentia; Muridae.
CUGUGCUUGUGUGUACAGAUGCAUAUAGGCCAAAAGAAGGACCCACAUGGCUUCAUUCAUAACCUUACAACUUUUUUUUAUAGAUCUUUAUACCCAGGAAUUUGUCUGUUCCUUCUAAAUCAUCUAGAAUUUCUCAAAGGAAAAGAUAAUUCAUUGUCCUGUUGCCUAAAAGCAGUUGCUGCAGAUGUUUGGAGAGAAGGUGUAUAUAAACACCCUGAAGAGAUAAUGUCUCUCACCAGCAUGGAACUCACCAAGCAGGCUAGGCAGGCGAGGCUGCUCAGCGAACCCUAGAGAUUUGUCUGUCUCCAUGUUUCCAACCCUGGCAUUACCAGCUUGCUGCAACACACCUGGCAUCUGGGGAGAGAACUCAGGUCUCUAUGCUUGAGAGGCAAGUAUUUUACUAACUGAUCCAUCUCCAUAGUUGUUCUUUAUAUUUUUAACCUAAAAAGAAAAGAAAAAGAAAAAGAAACGUGUAGCUUCCUUUCAAAGGAUGAGGCUCUACAGAUUGUUAAAUUGCUUCAGGAGACCAGCUUGGUUAGAGGAGAGCCUUAAAAACUUACACGUGAAAAGAUUUAAAGCAUGAGGAAAAUCACACCUGGGCUGAUUCUAAAAUUCCCCCAAAAUGGGAUUUUUUGUUUUGUUUUAUGGGUUUUUUUUAAAUAAAAGGGCUUUUCUUCUUCUUUUGGUACUUGGUUGAAUUUCAGAACUUUAGGAAAUUCUUUGGGUCAUCUGGUUGACCUUUAAGCACUUUCUACUUGCCAAACUCCUAAUUUCUCUGAUAUAGAAUACAUUGGAUUUUUAAGUAGGGGCUUUCCAAUUUACCCUUAAGUUAUCCCCAUCUCUUUAUCUGGUGACUUCCAUUUUAAGAUUUCAAUUUUAGUGAGACAAUUUCAAAGACCGUUAUUCUAUGACAUUAACAUAUGAACUAAUAUUACUUUUAUUUAAUAAUUUGAUGUGGAGAAAAUAAAAUAUAAAGAUGGAAUGCCUAAUGAAACCAGGGUUUCCAGAAGGAAGAGCCAACAGCAGCAGUAAAUUAUAGUUAUUUUUUGACCAAGAAUUUAAACCUUGUUAUUAAAAUAUUAUUUCUUAUGAAAUAUUUAGUGAUUGAUUAUUUUACAGAUUUCAGGACAUAUCAUUUAGUAAACCACUUAGGAAAAAGAAUUCAUGUCUAGAUGUUUAGCAUAGACAUUUCAACAAUGAAAACUGUUUUUACACCUCAUAGAAGGGCUUAAAACUUACAUAAGAAAUGGUGUGGUGUCAGAGGCAGUUAUAUGAACAGGACAUCUCUACCAUCCCUAGGUUUGGGACAAUAGAAUUUGGUGUUGUCAGAAUUCAGAAGCUGGGUUGCCUGGUGAGAGUUGGGACUACAGCAGGAAGGGCAUAGUUGGUGGGAUCUAGUUUCUUUGGAGUUACUAAUUCCUCGGUAAACUCCAAAAGUGUCUCGGGAAUGUGUCCUAACUGUGAUUCUAAGAGAGGAAAGGGAGUGAAUUUAUCUGAAAACCUUCCAGUAAAUGACUGGAUUAAUGAGAACCAGUAGUGAUGUCAACUGACUCAGUGAUAUAUGAGUUCUCAGAGUCAGAGAUGAGACAGCUGGCCUAUUGUCAGUGUGCAGCUGGAUAGCUGCUCUAGAAGAGUGGCUGAUUGCAUGAUUACACUUUCCUCCUGGCUUAUUUCCUGAAGGUGCACUGUAUCCAUCCAUAAUGGGCAUGAAGACAUCCAGUGUCUAUAGUCAAGGUGUGAAACUCAACAACGUGGGACCACAAGCAUCAGGCUCAAUGUAGUGACGCUCUCUUUUUCCUGAAAAAGAGGCUAUUCCUGUCAGUAGCUUCUGAGUCAUGUCCAGGGAAGCACAGCCUCUCUCCAUGGAUUCCUACAGCCAGGUUUUCCUAUGACUCCUUGAAAAUGGCAGUGCAGCCUGAAUCUGCUUUAAUACUGGUUUCUUCCCAAGCUGAGUGAAUCUGACCCCUUUCUAACUUGGAACAAAUCACACAUACAAAAUGAAGAUGAAAUGCCUCCAUCCAGCUACAACAGGAUUGAUUUUUGGCUCCCUGGUAUUUGGAAUUCACACACUGAAACAGCAAAACUCCAUGACACGUGAUCCAUCAGACAGCAAGGCCCAAGGAUGCAGGGUGGUUUUUCUUCCAUGUUGCUUGCUGCUUUGUCAAAAGUUCUUAAAACAAGGCCUGUGCUUAGCAGGUAUUUAUCAGAAGAUUUCUUAUGAUAAGAUAAAUUCAAACGGGAAUGUCAUUUACAGAUGAUGUAAAGAAAUGCUAGCCAGAGGAAGAAGUGACAG